RNAcentral lists this long non-coding RNA (2531 nucleotides) under Citrus x clementina. Its description in RNAcentral is "Citrus clementina (C. clementina) long non-coding RNA (CCLE_LNC005108)". The record is from RNAcentral. Lineage: Eukaryota; Viridiplantae; Streptophyta; Magnoliopsida; Sapindales; Rutaceae.
UGGGCGAAGUUCGUCCGCCGGACUCGGAAUGGCCCCAGACUUUGCGGGCGGCCUCCGUGGGCCAAAAAUAGGCCACGGGCACAGCCGCACCCAAAAAUCAGCCCCCGAAGGUCGGGGUGCCAAGACCCCCCAGCGGAAAAAUGGCCAAAAAACGGGUGGGCUAUAGCCUUGGUGGGGGGCGUGGGCGAAGUUCGUCCGCCGGACUCGGAAUGGCCCCAGACUUUGCGGGUGGCCUCCGUGUGCCAAAAAUAGGCCACGGGCACAGCCGCGCCCAAAAAUCAGCCCCCGAAGGUCGGGGUGCCAAGACCCCCCAGCGGAAAAAUGGCCAAAAAACGGGUGGGCUACAGCCUUGGUGGGGGGCGUGGGCGAAGUUCGUCCGCCGGACUCGGAAUGGCCCCAGACUUUGCGGGCGGCCUCCGUGUGCCAAAAAUAGGCCACGGGCACAGCCGCGCCCAAAAAUCAGCCCCCGAAGGUCGGGGUGCCAAGACCCCCCAGCGGAAAAAUGGCCAAAAAACGGGUGGGCUACAGCCUUGGUGGGGGGCGUGGGCGAAGUUCGUCCGCCGGACUCGGAAUGGCCCCAGACUUUGCGGGCGGCCUCCGUGUGCCAAAAAUAGGCCACGGGCACAGCCGCGCCCAAAAAUCAGCCCCCGAAGGUCGGGGUGCCAAGACCCCCCAGCGGAUAAAUGGCCAAAAAACGGGUGGGCUAUAGCCUUGGUGGGGGGCGUGGGCGAAGUUCGUCCGCCGGACUCGGAAUGGCCCCAGACUUUGCGGGCGGCCUCCGUGUGCCAAAAAUAGGCCACGGGCACAGCCGCGCCCAAAAAUCAGCCCCCGAAGGUCGGGGUGCCAAGACCCCCCCAGCGGAAAAAUGGCCAAAAAACGGGUGGGCUAUAGCCUUGGUGGGGGGCGUGGGCGAAGUUCGUCCGCCGGACUGGGAAUGGCCCCAGACUUUGCGGGCGGCCUCCGUGUGCCAAAAAUAGGCCACGGUCAAAGCCGCGCACAAAAAUCAGCCCCCGAAGGUCGGGGUGCCAAGACCCCCCCAGCGGAAAAAUGGCCAAAAAACGGGUGGGCUAUAGCCAUGGUGGGGGGCGUGGGCGAAGUUCGUCCGCCGGACUCGGAAUGGCCCCAGACUUUGCGGGCGGCCUCCGUGCGCCAAAAAUAGGCCACGGGCACAGCCGCGCCCAAAAAUCAGCCCCCGAAGGUCGGGGUGCCAAGACCCCCCAGCGGAAAAAUGGCCAAAAAACGGGUGGGCUAUAGCCUUGGUGGGGGCCGUGGGCGAAGUUCGUCCGCCGGACUCGGAAUGGCCCCAGACUUUGCGGGCGGCCUCCCUGUGCCAAAAAUAGGCCACGGGCACAGCCGCGCCCAAAAAUCAGCCCCCGAAGGUCGGGGUGCCAUGACCCCCCAGCGGAAAAAUGGCCAAAAAACGGGUGGGCUAUAGCCUUGGUGGGGGGCGUGGGCGAAGUUCGUCCGCCGGACUCGGAAUGGCCCCAGACUUUGCGGGCGGCCUCCGUGUGCCAAAAAUAGGCCACGGGCACAGCCGCGCCCAAAAAUCAGCCCCCGAAGGUCGGGGUGCCAAGACCCCCCAGCGGAAAAAUGGCCAAAAAACGGGUGGGCUAUAGCCUUGGUGGGGGGCGUGGGCGAAGUUCGUCCGCCGGACUCGGAAAGGCCCCAGACUUUGCGGGCGGCCUCCCUGUGCCAAAAAUAGGCCACGGGCACAGCCGCGCCCAAAAAUCAGCCCCCGAAGGUCGGGGUGCCAAGACCCCCCAGCGGAAAAAUGGCCAAAAAACGGGUGGGCUAUAGCCUUGGUGGGAGGCGUGGGCGAAGUUCGUCCGCCGGACUCGGAAUGGCCCCAGACUUUGCGGGCGGCCUCCGUGUGCCAAAAUAGGGCACGGGCACAGCCGCGCCCAAAAAUCAGCCCCUGAAGGUCGGGGUCCCAAGACCCCCCAGCGGAAAAAUGGCCAAAAAACGGGUGGGCUAUAGCCUUGGUGGGGGGCGUGGGCGAAGUUCGUCCGCCGGACUCGGAAUGCCCCAGACUUUGCGGGCGGCCUCCGUGUGCCAAAAAUAGGCCACAGGCAGAGCCGCGCCCAAAAAUAAGCACAGAAAGGUAAGGGUGCCAAGACCCCCCAGCGGAAAAAUGGCCAAAAAACGGGUGGGCUAUAAACUAUUGAAGGGGCGCGGGCGAAGUUAAUCCGCCGGACUCGAAAUGACCCCAGACUUUGCGGGCGACCUACGUGUGCCAAAAAUAGGCCACGGGCACAGCCGCGCCCAAAAAUCAGCCCCCGAAGGUCGGGGCGCCAAGACCCCCCAGCGGAAAAAUGGCCAAAAAACGGGUGGGCUAUAGCAUUGGUUAAGGGCGUAGGCGAAGUUAGUCCGCCGGACUCGGAAUGGCCCCAGACUUUGCAGGCGGCAUACGUGUGCCAAAAACAGGCCACGGGCACACCAGCGCCCAAAAAUCAGCCCCCGGAAGGUCGGGGCGCCAAGACCCCCCAGCGGAAAAAUGGCCAAAAAACGGGUGGGCGGGCUAUAGCCUUGAU